GCGGGUGGAAGAGCGUCGGUGGAUCUGAACUAUGCAGUCUAACAUCGAAUCUCGGAUCACAAAAAAAAACAAAGGGUGAUGACUUCAAUUAUACGUAUGUGUCUAAAAGGUUUGUAAAAUUUAAAGCAGCCGACAGCAAUUAUGCGACGAUGUGGGCUACUUUUAGAGACUUUCAAAUAUUAAAAUUUUCAUUUAUUUUUUCUACAAGACAAAGCAGAAAAUUAAAAUACAUAAAAGAAAAAUAAAAAAGAUUAAUUCCUAAUGGAUUCGGGAUAAAAAAAUCUAUAACACAAAAAAAUUCUAUAAUACACAAUCUAAUUAUUCUAAGGGAGUUUUAGGUGAUCAAUACUAUUAAAAAGGAAGGAGUCUAAAAAAUCUACCUAUAAAAGUUGUUUGGACCCUUUCAUUUAAUCGUAAAAGCAUUGAAACUAAUGUUUUAUAUUAUAACUUUUAUCAUAUAAUGUAUGAUUUAAAGCAAGAUAAAUUACAAGACAUAUAUGUGUACAUUUUAACUUCCUCUUUCGUUUAUAAUAAAGUAAUCAUAUCAUAUAUAAACUUUCCCACUAAAAUCUCAUAUCAUAUACUAAACUUUCAACCGUCUAUAGUUUGAUAAUAUUUUCAUAUUUAAAAAUGAUUUUUCUGAAUAUUCAUGUUACCUUCACAAAAAUGAAUAAAUUCAUUGGCUCUAUUAAAGCUAAC
Molecule: long non-coding RNA, 699 nt
Filed under: Brassica rapa (field mustard)
Lineage: Eukaryota; Viridiplantae; Streptophyta; Magnoliopsida; Brassicales; Brassicaceae
Description: long non-coding RNA (BRAP_LNC002758)
Source: RNAcentral